Molecule: long non-coding RNA, 3642 nt
Organism: Homo sapiens (human)
Lineage: Eukaryota; Metazoa; Chordata; Mammalia; Primates; Hominidae
Source: Ensembl
GAGCUCUCACAGCCCCUUUAGGGGCAGGACCCCUGAGGAUGAACCCUCAUUCCGCCGGUCUCUCGGAUCCCCCUUUCUCUUUUGCUUGAUUGCCCCUCCAAACAGGAAGGCGCCAACAACCCUACCUUGAGUCAGACCUGCGGCAACUAGGCAAGCUGCAGCCGCGAGGUAGAAGCUCUCUCUGACCCUUUUACCUUAAUGGUUCGUACCCGCGGGAAAUAAAGUUGGAAAACUGCAAGCGAUUUCCGAUCUACGGCUUCUUCCAGCUCCUCAGAUUUAUCUUACCGUCCCCCCCGCGAAUCCUCUCAAGAUCCCACCGAGAGAUGGAUUCGAAGACUCUCCCCUCCUUCCGCUGCUGGAUUCUGGCCCGUGCCCCGUCUCUCUCCACCCCAGCGGCUUCCCGAGUGAUUCUCCAAGGGCAAAUGAAUUUUGACCAGGAAGACAGUGAAGAAAUUUCAUAAAAGUGAAAUACUAAUUGGAAGCUCCUAUCGGCAUUGGUUGAUCUGACAAGUUGUGUGUAUAGAAACUAGCCUAUAUGGAGACACGAAUGUCAAAAGAAGUUUUACCGAUGAUAGAAAUAUGAGAGGAUCAUUAUGUAUUCUUCAAGAAAAAGAAAUAUGGCAAAGGAUAGUAAAGGUAAUACUGCCAAAAAUAUCCAGAUUGUAUUGAAGAAAAUUGUGAAAAAAAGGACCAGAGUCAAAGUUAUUUUUCUAGGAUGUGAUUCCAAUAAAUAAACCAGGGCACCUGCUGGUUCUCAAUACAUACUUGAGAUCCUAACAACUUGGAAGAAGAAACAAAAAUGUCUUCAAAGGAACAAGAAUUUGGCAUUUCAUUGACAACUCUGGAACACGGAAUACAACAAGACAUGUCUUCAGAAUUCUUAGAUGUAUUUUCAACUUUGAAUUCUAUACUGAAACUAUGAACCCUGAGGGCAGAAAAAGUAUUCAAGAACUCAGGAAGUAUCUCCAAAAACCCACACAGAAUAUUACUCAAAGAUCUGCUGGUGGCAGAUGAUGGCAUAAACCAAGAAAGAAGAAGCACUGAGUCCAAAAUGGUAGUGACAGAAAUGAGUGCAGCUGAUCUUGAGUGUGAUUAGCCAGGUUAAAGUAGGCCAAAGGAAAAUUCUGGAAAGAGAUAUCUAAGAGAGACGUGUCCAGGAAAAAGAGAACUUGAUGUAUAAAUAAUUUUAAAAACUGAAAAAAGUGAGGAAAACAAAUGCAAGUUAUGGGACAGAUAAAAGACUGGCAAUAAGUAAUUCCAGGGAGAGUACAACCCAGUGUACCAAUUGGUAAAUAAUAUUAAAUUAUAUAAUACAAACACUGCUUACAGAUGUUUCACUUUUAAAAUCAAUCCAUUGGCAGAUUUAAUAAUGGAUGCAGAAGAAUUAAAUGGCUUCGCAUUUAUUUUAACAAAGUGAAAGUAAGACUUUUGGAGGUAGAAGAAGGAGAGCUGGGGAAAGAUAUUUUCUCAUUUCAUAGAGAAAGGCUUCAGAACAUGCCCACGUGAUGGACAAUAUAUAAAGGUAAAUGUUUAUUAUUUAAAUAAUAAUGCUAUAUUAGGCAGUGUGAACUAAAUACUUACUAUAAUAAUAAUGUGAGUUACUAGUGUAAAAAUCAAGAAUAAAUAAAAAGUGAUAAAACAUAAUUUAGAAAUGUGAAUAUAAUCAUCAGAUAUAAAUAAUAAAUAAUUAAAAUAAUUAAAUAGAUUUCCUUUAGGUUGCAGGACUGCAAAUUGGGAAUGGUGAGGGUUUUUUUUCCCCUACAAAUCCUUUAUUAAUUGCAUUUUAUAUGUGUGAGUAUAUUAAAAAUUUAAAAACUAAAUUAAACAACAUAAGUAGUAAAAUAAUACAUAGCUUAUAGAAAUAAAAAUAAAAUUUUAAUGCCAAUUUAAUGUAAAAGUAGAAUUUCCAGGCAUUUCGAAGAUGCUUAUAGCUUCCUUUUUCUGUAUUCUCUUAUUAUCAAGUCUCCCUAGACAUAAUAUAGUUAAACAGUUUUCAUCUCUUUUCUCAAAGCUGGAUUCUUAGGAGCAAUUUGUACAAAAUGAUCCUGAGUAUCCCAGUCUUCUUAUGUAUGUUGUCUUUUUAAAGAUACAAUGCAGGUCAAUUCAGGCUUUUGAUUUACAACGCCCACUUCUCUGCUAGUUUGAGUUUCCAACUUAGUAGUACAGGACAACUGUCAGUUCCUAGAAAAUAUAAGCCUUACAUUUUGUUCUAAGGCCUGAAUUUUUCUCUUAACUAUUAAAAUUUAUUUUAAACAUAACAGCUUAGAGUAACUUAAAUUCAUGCUGUUAAACAUACACACACAGUCAAAAUCUGAUAAGGCACAUGUAUUUAAUUUCAGUGACUCUGACAUCUACUCUGUUCUUCAUGAAGAUGAUGAAUGGUACAUUAUAGCUCUUUUGUACAAAUAUUUGGUUUUGGUCCCCUUGAAAAUGACCUUAAAAUCACCUGGGGCUAUUGUUAAAAAUGCACACAUGCCCACUGCAUCCUCAGUCUUACUAAAUCAAGAAUAGCAAUCUCGAUGAGUAAUUCGAUUAGUGAUCUCGAUUAGUAAUUCCUGCAGAGCACAGGAAUCAAUUUCAAUGAAAAAUUUUCUCUGUGAUUUUUCAAUAUUUUUAAAUGUUUCCAAAUCUUUAGUGCCCCCUCUGCAAAGUCCGGACUUGUCUCUUAGUUUGAACUUUAGUAAAAUGUAAAGCUUAAGAACAGCAUUAGAAUUGUUCCCAUUCGUUCAAUUGAUCCACUCAACACAUAUAAUAUGCAUCUUCUAACUGUGGGCACUGUCCUGAGUCCUGGACACAUGAACUAACAAAAGAGCUCGCCUUAGGAGUGAGGCAGGGUCUUAGGCAUAUCAGAGAGGACAUUCAUGACUUAUGUUGGCAAGUUUAAUAUGACAUAUAAGUGAAUAUUAAUUUCUCCAUUGCACCCUUUGUGAGUUUCUGAGAAAAUAAAUAACAUAUAUAUGUGUGAAUUACAAAUACAAAUAUAUAUCCCUUGAAUGGCCUAGGGUAAACAGAUAAAAGUUGUUGUUUGUUAGAGUAAAAUCCUAACUGAACAAAUGGGGUAAUUUUAUAUGCAUUGUACAAUUCCAGAUCAACUCUGGUAAACCUCACCAGGAGUAAGGAUUUUUGUUGUUUAUGUGUAAGAUUGCCGAUACAUUUUAUUUUAUUUUGAUGACAAAGCAACUUGGUUUUGACUACUGAAUUGUUAAGUUUGCCUCUGCUAUUUUCAAUUCCUCUGUAAUUUAGGGAUUGUGAAUAUCAGUCAGAGAAAAACUGCAGUGGGACUUGAAGCCCUGAUGUGCUGUUCGGUCAGACUUUUUUUUUUCCUGAAUUUUAAAGAUAGAGUUUCUCUAUUGUAGGAAAACAUAUCUUAGUUAUUUUUUAUUUUAAAUACAUUCCUCUGGAGGAAGAACAAAAAGCAAAGCAAAGAAAAACAAAACAUAGCUUUUUCUAUGUUGUUUUAUACUUAAUAUCUAAAGCUCUUCAUGAAAGCAAGAAAUUUUGACCUUAAGACUAUUCCUGAAUAUAUGUAUUCUUGAAUAUAAUAUCAUAUAUAUUACACAUAUCUGUUAUGAAAGCCCAAAUAAACUGCACAUCUAUAUCUAUUCAUACUGCCACUUGAAUGAAAGCACAUUCAAGGUAAAA